AUUGAACGCUGGCGGAAUGCUUUACACAUGCAAGUCGAACGGCAGCACGGACUUCGGUCUGGUGGCGAGUGGCGAACGGGUGAGUAAUGUAUCGGAACGUGCCCAGUCGUGGGGGAUAACGUAGUGAAACUUACGCUAAUACCGAGUACGAGCUAUGGAUGAAAGCGGGGGAUCGCAAGACCUCGCGCGAUUGGAGCGGCCGAUAUCAGAUUAGGUAGUUGGUGGGGUAAAGGCCCACCAAGCCAACGAUCUGUAGCUGGUCUGAGAGGACGACCAGCCACACUGGAACUGAGACACGGUCCAGACUCCUACGGGAGGCAGCAGUGGGGAAUUUUGGACAAUGGGCGAAAGCCUGAUCCAGCCAUUCCGCGUGCAGGAUGAAGGCCCUCGGGUUGUAAACUGCUUUUGUACAGAACGAAAAGGUUUCUACUAAUACUAGGAGCUCAUGACGGUACUGUAAGAAUAAGCACCGGCUAACUACGUGCCAGCCGCCGCCGUAA
This 500-nucleotide ribosomal RNA is filed under the name uncultured bacterium. Its description in RNAcentral is "partial 16S ribosomal RNA". It matches the Rfam family "Bacterial small subunit ribosomal RNA", at positions 30 to 523 of the family's 1533-position model. The record is from RNAcentral.